This 490-nucleotide ribosomal RNA is filed under the name uncultured bacterium. RNAcentral describes it as "partial 16S ribosomal RNA". It matches the Rfam family "Bacterial small subunit ribosomal RNA", at positions 30 to 507 of the family's 1533-position model. The record is from RNAcentral.
AUUGAACGCUGGCGGCAGGCCUAACACAUGCAAGUCGAACGGUAACAGGAAACAGCUUGCUGUUUCGCUGACGAGUGGCGGACGGGUGAGUAAUGCCUGGGAAACUGCCUGAUGGAGGGGGAUAACUACUGGAAACGGUAGCUAAUACCGCAUAACGUCGCAAGACCAAAGAGGGGGACCUUCGGGCCUCUUGCCAUCGGAUGUGCCCAGAUGGGAUUAGCUAGUAGGUGGGGUAACGGCUCACCUAGGCGACGAUCCCUAGCUGGUCUGAGAGGAUGACCAGCCACACUGGAACUGAGACACGGUCCAGACUCCUACGGGAGGCAGCAGUGGGGAAUAUUGCACAAUGGGCGCAAGCCUGAUGCAGCCAUGCCGCGUGUAUGAAGAAGGCCUUCGGGUUGUAAAGUACUUUCAGCGGGGAGGAAGGGAGUAAAGUUAAUACCUUUGCUCAUUGACGUUACCCGCAGAAGAAGCACCGGCUAACUCCGUG